AUGCCAUGGGUGGUAGUGGGUGAUCUUAAUGACAUCAUGUACUCUUUUGAGAAGGAAGGUGGUAAUCCUAGGCCAGCUCACUUCAUGGCUGCUUUUAGAGAUGCACUUGAGGAUUGUAAUCUAUCUGAUCAUGGUUAUUUUGGCGAUAAAUACACAUGGCAUUGUGGACAGAUCCAGGAAAGAUUGGACCGAGCUGUCUCCUCCCGGUCUGCAGCCUGCUUUCUGCAGUCGCUCGGCCUCACGCGCGUGUGGCCCGGCCCCGCCGGGUUUUGCCUGUCCUGCCUCCGGCUUAGCCGCGCGCCGGCGCCGCUCUGA
RNAcentral lists this ribosomal RNA (315 nucleotides) under Triticum aestivum (bread wheat). RNAcentral describes it as "partial small subunit ribosomal RNA". Lineage: Eukaryota; Viridiplantae; Streptophyta; Magnoliopsida; Poales; Poaceae. The record is from RNAcentral.